This is a long non-coding RNA of Raphanus sativus (radish), 526 nucleotides long. RefSeq lists it as uncharacterized. The transcript is spliced from 2 exons. Lineage: Eukaryota; Viridiplantae; Streptophyta; Magnoliopsida; Brassicales; Brassicaceae. The record is from RefSeq and is a predicted model, not a curated record.
CUCGUUCACCGUGUCACCGUAAGAGGAUGAGGAGGAAGCCUUCUCCGUCGCCGCCGGCUGAUCGUUUCCGUAGUCCGAGACCUCGAUUGAGAACCUAGGUCCUCCUGACAUAAUCUCCAUCACCGUAAAAGACACAAACCAGACUCUCAGAGAAUAGUAGAAAUCGCCAUGGUCGAGAGAGAGAGAGAGAGAGGAUAAGGUUUUUAUCUAUUUUUACAAAUUUAAUUGAAGGAAGGCGAUAAAGGACGAUAACUGGAUAAAAUAUUUAUCCUAUUGGAGGAUUAAAUAUUAUAAAUUUAUAUAUGCGAAUGCGUGAUUUCGGACACAAAAAGUACUGUAAACUAAUGUAUCUCCCUGUCCUUCCUUUCUGCUUAUGAUCUCUGUAUUUUUAGUAUUUUUUAACAUUUGAAAAAAAAAUCAGAUGGUAAAUUUUGGGAAAUUAAUAAUAUUCCUGAACAAACUCAAAAGGAAAGUAAAGGAUUUUGGGAUUGUACUAUAUGUUUCGUCCAAAUAACUUGAACGAAAA